CCCUUAGAUGUUCUGGGCUGCACGCGCGCUACACUGACACACUCAGCGAGUCACCUGAUCUGAGAAGACCGGGCAAUCAUGUGAGCGUGUGUCGUGAUGGGGAUAGAAUAUUGUAAUUAUUACUCUUCAACGAGGAAUUCCUAGUAAGCGCGGGUCAGCAGCUCGCGCUGAUUACGUCCCUGCCCUUUGUACACACCGCCUGUCGCUCCUACCGAGGGGGUGAUCCGGUGAAUGAUUCGGACUUUGGCAUUGCUAUGUUUCAUAGCAUUGCUGGGGGAAGUCUUGUGAACCUUAUCACUUGGAGGAAGGAGAAGUCGUAACA
This 322-nucleotide ribosomal RNA is filed under the name uncultured eukaryote. RNAcentral's name for it is "partial 18S ribosomal RNA". It matches the Rfam family "Eukaryotic small subunit ribosomal RNA", at positions 1470 to 1796 of the family's 1831-position model. The record is from RNAcentral.